CUACGGGCGGCUCCAGUCGAGAAUCUUCCGCAAUGGACGAAAGUCUGACGGAGCGACGCCGCGUGCGGGAUGAAGGCCUUCGGGUUGUAAACCGCUGUCAGUGGGGAGGAAAUGCAUCAGGGUUCUCCCUGGUGUUUGACCGAUCCGCAGAGGAAGCGCAGGCUAAGUUCGUGCCAGCAGCCGCGGUAACACGAACUGCGCGAACGUUAUUCGGAAUCACUGGGCUUAAAGAGUUCGUAGGCGGUCUUUCAAGUCGGGUGUGAAAUCCCUCGGCUCAACCGAGGAAUUGCGCCUGAUACUGUUGGGCUUGAGGGGGAUAGGGGUGAGCGGAACUGAUGGUGGAGCGGUGACAUGCGUUGAUAUCAUCAGGAACACCGGUGGCGAAGGCGGCUCACUGGAUCUCUUCUGACGCUGAGGAACGAAAGCUAGGGGAGCGAACGGGAUUAGAUACCCUCGUAGUC
Molecule: ribosomal RNA, 461 nt
Filed under: uncultured bacterium
Lineage: Bacteria
Description: partial 16S ribosomal RNA
Rfam family: Bacterial small subunit ribosomal RNA
Source: RNAcentral